This 406-nucleotide ribosomal RNA is filed under the name Colletotrichum sp. BMT25(L3). RNAcentral describes it as "SSU rRNA". It matches the Rfam family "Bacterial small subunit ribosomal RNA", at positions 450 to 894 of the family's 1533-position model. Lineage: Eukaryota; Fungi; Ascomycota; Sordariomycetes; Glomerellales; Glomerellaceae. The record is from RNAcentral. RNAcentral also lists the same sequence under 1 other name.
GUUUUAAGUACAUAUUAAUAAUGAUAAUAUGUAUAAAAGUCUUGACCAAUUACGUGCCAGCAGUCGCGGUAAUACGUAGGAGACGAGCAUUAUUCAUAUUAAAUAGGUUUAAAGGGUACCCAAACGGUCAAAAUACCUUGAAUAAAGAAGUACUUGACUAGAGUUAUAUGAGGGAAGACCGUACUUGAGGUGGAGGGAUUAUAUCCUGUGAUACCAAAAGGACUGAUAAAGGCGAAGGCUGUCUUUUAUGUAAUAACUGACGUUGGAGGACGAAGGCAUAGAGAACUAACAGGAUUUGACACCCUAGUAGUCUUUGCAGACAAUGAUGAAUGCCAUGAACUAGAUUAUAAUUUAGUUUUAUAAAUGAAAAUGAAAGCAUUUCACCUCAAGAGUAAUGUGGCAACGC